AACAAUUGUCCAUCAAUGCACUACGGGCCAAUGAGAACUUUUACCACAUCAUUUAUAACAUUACGGUCAAGAUUAUACCGAAUAAUCCCUGGUCAUAAUCAUACCAAGUCCAUCUAUGCACGAUAGGCCACAGAUGACUUUCAACAUAAUAUAAACAUGAGGAUGAUGACAAUUCAAUAAAACAAGUUCAAGAAUAAAUUUUAAAGAUUUAUAAGUUAAUU
RNAcentral lists this long non-coding RNA (221 nucleotides) under Panax ginseng (ginseng). RNAcentral describes it as "long non-coding RNA (PGIN_LNC004144)". The record is from RNAcentral. Lineage: Eukaryota; Viridiplantae; Streptophyta; Magnoliopsida; Apiales; Araliaceae.